GACGAACGCUGGCGGCGUGCUUAACACAUGCAAGUCGAGCGGGUAAGGCCCUUUCGGGGGUACACGAGCGGCGAACGGGUGAGUAACACGUGGGUGACCUGCCCUCAGCUCUGGGAUAAGCCUGGGAAACCGGGUCUAAUACCGGAUAUGACUCCAUGACGCAUGUUGUGGGGUGGAAAGCCUUGUGCGGCUGAGGAUGGGCCCGCGGCCUAUCAGCUUGUUGGUGGGGUGANGGCCUACCAAGGCGACGACGGGUAGCCGGCCUGAGAGGGCGACCGGCCACACUGGGACUGAGACACGGCCCAGACUCCUACGGGAGGCAGCAGUGGGGAAUCUUGCGCAAUGGGACGAAAGCCUGACGCAGCGACGCCGCGUGAGGGAU
This 382-nucleotide ribosomal RNA is filed under the name uncultured bacterium. Its description in RNAcentral is "bacterial SSU rRNA". It matches the Rfam family "Bacterial small subunit ribosomal RNA", at positions 28 to 409 of the family's 1533-position model. The record is from RNAcentral.